This 259-nucleotide long non-coding RNA is filed under the name Lathyrus oleraceus (garden pea). RNAcentral describes it as "Pisum sativum (pea) long non-coding RNA (PSAT_LNC027178)". The record is from RNAcentral. Lineage: Eukaryota; Viridiplantae; Streptophyta; Magnoliopsida; Fabales; Fabaceae.
UCAGAUUCUCAAUCCUUCUUGAGAUACGUAUGCAGCAGGGUAGGGCCUGUGCGAGCAAUAACUCUUUCCUUUCCCUACUUUGAUUUUCUCUCUUUCGCAUCACAUAUAGGAAUUUUAUACACACACUUUAGACAUAAAUAGCAAGCGUGGAUCCUGUGGAGUACCACAGACAUGAAGGGGUGCGAUAACCUUCCCUUCACGUAACCGGCCCCCUUACUCGGUUUUCUUUGGUUCGAGACUUUGUUUUAUCCGUUCCCUC